UGGGUGGAUUGGGCAGUCACCUGGCAUUAGCUGGGAGGAAAGUCCGGACUCCGCAGGACAGGUUGCCCAUGUUUGGAGCAUGGGACUCUACUUUUUGUAGGGAUGGAAAGUGCCGCAGAAAAGAUACCGCCUACCUACGCCCUUCGGGCUUCGGCAGGCAGGCCCCCUUAUAUGAAUGAAUAGAGUGGGCUUGCCCACCGGAGCUCGCAGAGCGUAGGUGGGUAAGGGUGAAAUCGUGAGGUAAGAGCUCACGCCUGGAUCAGGUAACUGGUUCAGAGGGUAAACCCCAGCUGGAGCAAUUUCAAGCAGAAGAGCAUGGUAGUCCGCUAUUCAUCUCUGAUGAAACUCUUCGGGUAGGAAGCUAGUAUCUCCAUGCAAAUGGGGAUCCAGAUCAAUGGCUGCCUCAUCCUCUUUUGAGGGUAAGACAGAAUCCGGCUUAUAGAUCCACCCAUUUA
This 455-nucleotide RNase P RNA is filed under the name Fidelibacterota bacterium. RNAcentral's name for it is "RNase P RNA component class A". It matches the Rfam family "Bacterial RNase P class A". From Rfam's summary of the family: Ribonuclease P (RNase P) is a ubiquitous endoribonuclease, found in archaea, bacteria and eukarya as well as chloroplasts and mitochondria. The record is from RNAcentral. Lineage: Bacteria; Pseudomonadati; Fidelibacterota.